UACCUGCAGCUCGAGUGGUAACCGCUAUUAUUGGGCCUAAAGCGUCCGUAGCCGGUUUGGUAAAUAUCUGGGUAAAUCGUGAGGCUUAACUUCACGAAUUUCGGAUAGACUGCCAGACUUGGGAUCGGGGGAGGUCAGAGGUACUCCAGGGGUAGCGGUGAGAUGUUGUAAUCCUUGGAGGACCACCGGUAGCGAAGGCGUCUGACUAGAACGAGUCCGACGGUGAGGGACGAAGCCCUGGGGGCGCAAACCGGAUUAGAUACCCGGGUAGUCCAGGGUGUAAACGAUGUGGGCUUUGUAUUGGAGGUCCCACGUGGGCGUCCAGUGCAGAAGAGAAGUUGUUAAGCCCACCGCCUGGGAAGUACGGUCGCAAGGCUGAAACUUAAAGGAAUUGGCGGGGAGCACAGCAACGGGAGGAGCGUGCGGUUU
RNAcentral lists this ribosomal RNA (429 nucleotides) under uncultured archaeon. Its description in RNAcentral is "bacterial SSU rRNA". It matches the Rfam family "Archaeal small subunit ribosomal RNA", at positions 474 to 903 of the family's 1478-position model. The record is from RNAcentral.